Molecule: long non-coding RNA, 1362 nt
Filed under: Oncorhynchus kisutch (coho salmon)
Lineage: Eukaryota; Metazoa; Chordata; Actinopteri; Salmoniformes; Salmonidae
Description: lncRNA (ENSOKIG00005039085.1)
Source: RNAcentral
AUGGGAGAUUCUCUCCAGUCAGUAUGGGGGAUUCUCUCCAGUCAGUAUUGGGUUUGUCUCCAGUCAGUAUGGGGGAUUUUCUCCAGUCAGUAUUGGGUUUGUCUCCAGUCAGUAUGGGGGAUUCUCUCCAGUCAGUAUGGGGGAUUCUCUCCAGUCAGUAUGGGGGAUUCUCUCCAGUCAGUAUGGGGGAUUCUCUCCAGUCAGUAUGGGGGAUUCUCUCCAGUCAGUAUGGGGGAUUCUCUCCAGUCAGUAUGGGAGAUUCUCUCCAGUCAGUAUGGGGGAUUCUCUCCAGUCAGUAUGGGGGAUUCUCUCCAGUCAGUAUUGGGUUUGUCUCCAGUCAGUAUGGGGGAUUUUCUCCAGUCAGUAUUGGGUUUGUCUCCAGUCAGUAUGGGGGAUUCUCUCCAGUCAGUAUGGGGGAAUUCUCUCCAGUCAGUAUGGGGGAUUCUCUCCAGUCAGUAUGGGGGAUUCUCUCCAGUCAGUAUGGGGGAUUCUCUCCAGUCAGUAUGGGGGAUUCUCUCCAGUCAGUAUGGGGGAUUCUCUCCAGUCAGUAUGGGAGAUUCUCUCCAGUCAGUAUGGGGGAUUCUCUCCAGUCAGUAUGGGGGAUUCUCUCCAGUCAGUAUGGGGGAUUCUCUCCAGUCAGUAUGGGGGAUUCUCUCCAGUCAGUAUGGGGGAUUCUCUAGUCAGUAUGGGAGAUUCUCUCCAGUCAGUAUGGGAGAUUCUCUCCAGUCAGUAUGGGGGAUUCUCUCCAGUCAGUAUGGGGGAUUCUCUCCAGUCAGUAUGGGGGAUUCUCUCCAGUCAGUAUGGGGGAUUCUCUCCAGUCAGUAUGGGGGAUUCUCUCCAGUCAGUAUGGGGGAUUCUCUCCAGUCAGUAUGGGGGAUUCUCUCCAGUCAGUAUUGGGUUUGUCUCCAGUCAGUAUGGGGGAUUCUCUCCAGUCAGUAUUGGGUUUGUCUCCAGUCAGUAUGGGGGAUUCUCUCCAGUCAGUAUGGGAGAUUCUCUCCAGUCAGUAUGGGGGAUUCUCUCCAGUCAGUAUGGGAGAUUCUCUCCAGUCAGUAUGGGGGAUUCUCUCCAGUCAGUAUGGGAGAUUCUCUCCAGUCAGUAUGGGGGAUUCUCUCCAGUCAGUAUUGGGUUUGUCUCCAGUCAGUAUGGGGGAUUCUCUCCAGUCAGUAUGGGGGAUUCUCUCCAGUCAGUAUGGGGGAUUCUCUCCAGUCAGUAUGGGGGAUUCUCUCCAGUCAGUAUUGGGUUUGUCUCCAGUCAGUAUGGGAGAUUCUCUCCAGUCAGUAUGGGAGAUUCUCUAGUCAGUAUGGGGGAUUCUCUCCAGUCAGUAUGGGGGAUUCUCUCCAGUCAGUAUGGGGGAUUCUCUAG